CUGCCUUCAGAGGGGAAUAACGUUUGGAAACGAACGCUAAUACCGCAUAACAUUGGGAUAUGGCAUCAUGACCCAAUCAAAGAUUUAUCGCUGAAAGAUGGGCUCGCGCCCGAUUAGGUAGUUGGUGAGAUAAUAGCCCACCAAGCCGACGAUCGGUAGCCGGACUGAGAGGUUGAACGGCCACAUUGGGACUGAGACACGGCCCAGACUCCUACGGGAGGCAGCAGUGGGGGAUAUUGCACAAUGGGGGGAACCCUGAUGCAGCGACGCCGCGUGAGGGAAGACGGUUUUCGGAUUGUAAACCUCUGUCUUUAGGGACGAAACAAAUGACGGUACCUAAAGAGGAAGCCACGGCUAACUACGUGCCAGCAGCCGCGGUAAUACGUAGGUGGCAAGCGUUGUCCGGAAUUACUGGGUGUAAAGGGAGCGUAGGCGGGAAUGCAAGUUGAAUGUUUAAACUAUGGGCUCAACCCAUAGUCGCGUUCAAAACUGCAUUUCUUGAGUGGAGUAGAGGCAGGCGGAAUUCCUAGUGUAGCGGUGAAAUGCGUAGAUAUUAGGAGGAACACCAGUGGCGAAGGCGGCCGGCUGGGCUCUAACUGACGCUGAGGCCCGAAAGCGUGGGUAGCAAACAGGAUUAGAUACCCUGGUAGUCCACGCCGUAAAC
This 664-nucleotide ribosomal RNA is filed under the name uncultured bacterium. RNAcentral describes it as "bacterial SSU rRNA". It matches the Rfam family "Bacterial small subunit ribosomal RNA", at positions 126 to 807 of the family's 1533-position model. The record is from RNAcentral.